GAUGUACAGGACCAUGAAUGGAGGCAAGCCAUAACUGCUGCUGGAUCUGGAUGUAUUGCUGCUUUAUCAGUUGAGAGAUAUCUUGUUAGCAAUGAUCUACAUGUGGAGUUCCGUCAGAGGUUAAGAAGGAACCAACUGACAGAGACGUUCAAGAGGGCUUUGACAUUACACUUACAAAGCAUAAGGGCCAAUACGCUCUGCGAAAGUUGUACCAUGAAAGUUCACGGCUCAUAUGUGUACUAUAUACAGCACCAACUUGUGGUCCAUGUAGAACUUUGAAGCCAAUUCUUAGCAAGGUGAU
Molecule: unclassified non-coding RNA, 301 nt
Filed under: Hevea brasiliensis (rubber tree)
Lineage: Eukaryota; Viridiplantae; Streptophyta; Magnoliopsida; Malpighiales; Euphorbiaceae
Source: RNAcentral